This 429-nucleotide ribosomal RNA is filed under the name Gemmatimonadota bacterium. RNAcentral describes it as "Gemmatimonadetes bacterium partial 16S ribosomal RNA". It matches the Rfam family "Bacterial small subunit ribosomal RNA", at positions 355 to 776 of the family's 1533-position model. Lineage: Bacteria; Pseudomonadati; Gemmatimonadota. The record is from RNAcentral.
UAGGGAAUCUUCGGCAAUGGACGAAAGUCUGACCGAGCAACGCCGCGUGAGUGAAGAAGGUUUUCGGAUCGUAAAACUCUGUUGUUAGAGAAGAACAAGGACGUUAGUAACUGAACGUCCCCUGACGGUAUCUAACCAGAAAGCCACGGCUAACUACGUGCCAGCAGCCGCGGUAAUACGUAGGUGGCAAGCGUUGUCCGGAUUUAUUGGGCGUAAAGCGAGCGCAGGCGGUUUCUUAAGUCUGAUGUGAAAGCCCCCGGCUCAACCGGGGAGGGUCAUGGGAAACUGGGAGGCUUGAGUGCAGAAGAGGAGAGUGGAAUUCCAUGUGUAGCGGUGAAAUGCGUAGAUAUAUGGAGGAACACCAGUGGCGAAGGCGGCUCUCUGGUCUGUAACUGACGCUGAGGCUCGAAAGCGUGGGGAGCAAACAGG